Molecule: non-coding RNA, 106 nt
Filed under: Metabacillus indicus
Lineage: Bacteria; Bacillati; Bacillota; Bacilli; Caryophanales; Bacillaceae
Description: Bacillus cibi SAM-I sequence
Rfam family: SAM riboswitch aptamer (S box leader)
About the family: The SAM riboswitch is found upstream of a number of genes which code for proteins involved in methionine or cysteine biosynthesis in Gram-positive bacteria. The SAM riboswitch acts at the level of transcription termination control.
Source: Rfam by way of RNAcentral
AACUUAUCCAGAGAGGCGAAGGGAACUGGCCCGAUGAAGCCCGGCAACCUGCAUGCGUGCAAGGUGCUACAUCCAGCAAAAUGAAACCCAUUUUGGAAGAUAAGGU